AGUUAAUAAGCUUAUUUAGCAUUAUAUUUUGAAAAUAUAAUUUUAGAAAUAUAGAAAUUUCUAUUAACUU
RNAcentral lists this transfer RNA (70 nucleotides) under Anterhynchium (Dirhynchium) sp. QHZ-2020. Its description in RNAcentral is "tRNA-Ser". Lineage: Eukaryota; Metazoa; Arthropoda; Insecta; Hymenoptera; Vespidae. The record is from RNAcentral.